Molecule: ribosomal RNA, 450 nt
Filed under: uncultured bacterium
Lineage: Bacteria
Description: partial 16S ribosomal RNA
Rfam family: Bacterial small subunit ribosomal RNA
Source: RNAcentral
GUGGGGAAUAUUGGACAAUGGGCGAAAGCCUGAUCCAGCCAUGCCGCGUGUGUGAAGAAGGUCUUCGGAUUGUAAAGCACUUUAAGUUGGGAGGAAGGGCAGUAAGUUAAUACCUUGCUGUUUUGACGUUACCGACAGAAUAAGCACCGGCUAACUUCGUGCCAGCAGCCGCGGUAAUACGAAGGGUGCAAGCGUUAAUCGGAAUUACUGGGCGUAAAGCGCGCGUAGGUGGUUUUGUAAGUUGGAGGUGAAAUCCCCGGGUUCAAACUGGGAACUGCCUCCAAAACUGCAUGACUAGAGUACGGUAUAGGGUAGUGGAAUUUCCUGUGUAGCGGUGAAAUGCGUAGAUAUAGGAAGGAACACCAGUGGCGAAGGCGACUACCUGGACUGAUACUGACACUGAGGUGCGAAAGCGUGGGGAGCAAACAGGAUUAGAAACCCCUGUAGUCC